Molecule: small nucleolar RNA, 74 nt
Organism: Conger conger (European conger)
Lineage: Eukaryota; Metazoa; Chordata; Actinopteri; Anguilliformes; Congridae
Source: RefSeq, a predicted model, not a curated record
AUGCGAUGAUGUAUUGAAUUUCUUCACCUGAAUCCGUUGUGUGGAACCAAAUGAGCUUUUUAACCCUGAGCAUC